GAUGAACGCUGGCGGCGUGCCUAAUACAUGCAAGUCGAGCGCGAGAGUGAGGAGCUUGCUCCUCAUAAUCGAGCGGCGGACGGGUGAGUAACACGUAGGCAACCUACCCUUGAGAUUGGGAUAACUACCGGAAACGGUGGCUAAUACCGGAUACGACUUUUCCACACAAGUGGAAUGGUUAAAAGGCGGAUUUAUCUGCCGCUCAGUGCUGGGCCUUCGGUGCAUUAGCUAGUUGGGGAGGUAGUGGCUCACCAAGGCGACGAUGCAUAGCCGACCUGAGAGGGUGAUCGGCCACACUGGGACUGAGACACGGCCCAGACCCUACGGGAGGCAGCAGUAGGGAAUCUUCCGCAAUGGACGCAAGUCUGACGGAGCAACGCCGCGUGAGUGAUGAAGGGUUUCGGCUCGUAAAACUCUGUUGUUAAGGAAGAACACUUGAGGUAGUAACUGGCCUUGAGAUGGCGGUACUUAACCAGAAAGCCACGGCUAACUACGUGCCAGCCGCCGCCGUAA
This 513-nucleotide ribosomal RNA is filed under the name uncultured bacterium. RNAcentral describes it as "partial 16S ribosomal RNA". It matches the Rfam family "Bacterial small subunit ribosomal RNA", at positions 28 to 523 of the family's 1533-position model. The record is from RNAcentral.